This 1063-nucleotide ribosomal RNA is filed under the name Myxococcales bacterium. RNAcentral's name for it is "partial 23S ribosomal RNA". It matches the Rfam family "Bacterial large subunit ribosomal RNA", at positions 1854 to 2925 of the family's 2925-position model. Lineage: Bacteria; Pseudomonadati; Myxococcota; Myxococcia; Myxococcales. The record is from RNAcentral.
GACGCCUGCCCGGUGCCGGAAGGUUAAGAGGAGGGGUGCAAGCUCUGAAUCUAAGCCCCGGUAAACGGCGCCCGUAACUAUAACGGUCCUAAGGUAGCGAAAUUCCUUGUCGGGUAAGUUCCGACCUGCACGAAUGGCGUAACGACUUCCACACUGUCUCAACCAGGGACUCAGCGAAAUUGGAAUGGCGGUGAAGAUACCGUCUACCCGCGAAAAGACGGAAAGACCCCGGCACCUUUACUAUAGCUUUACACUGGCAUUCGCCAAGGCAUGUGUAGGAUAGGUGGUAGGCUUUGAAGCGUGGGCGCCAGCUCGCGUGGAGCCAUCCUUGAAAUACCACCCUUAUCUUCGUGGAUGUCUAACCGCGGUCCGUUAUCCGGAUCCGGGACAGUGUAUGGUGGGUAGUUUGACUGGGGCGGUCGCCUCCGAAAGAGUAACGGAGGCGCGCGAUGGUAGGCUCAGACCGGUCGGAAAUCGGUCGUCGAGUGCAAUGGCAUAAGCCUGCCUGACUGCGAGACUGACAAGUCGAGCAGAGACGAAAGUCGGUCAUAGUGAUCCGGUGGUCCCGCGUGGAAGGGCCAUCGCUCAACGGAUAAAAGGUACGCCGGGGAUAACAGGCUGAUGACCCCCAAGAGUCCAUAUCGACGGGGUUGUUUGGCACCUCGAUGUCGACUCAUCGCAUCCUGGGGCUGGAGCAGGUCCCAAGGGUUUGGCUGUUCGCCAAUUAAAGCGGUACGCGAGCUGGGUUCAAAACGUCGUGAGACAGUUUGGUCCCUAUCUUCCGUGGGCGUAGGAGGCUUGAGAGGAUCUGACCUUAGUACGAGAGGACCGGGUUGGACGCACCUCUGGUGUACCAGUUGUCACGCCAGUGGCAUCGCUGGGUAGCCAUGUGCGGAUUGGAUAACCGCUGAAAGCAUCUAAGCGGGAAACCGACCUCAAGAUUUGGCCUCCCGGGGGCAACCCCCUGAAGACCCGAUGGAGACUACGUCGUUGAUAGGCCGGAUGUGUAAGCGCGGUAACGCGUUCAGCUAACCGGUACUAAUCGGUCGUGAGGCUUACAUUA